GUCUUUUAAUAACAUGCAUGUAAGUUCUUGGCUGUCAGUUUUUCUGCUAUCUGCUCUUUCCUGCCAUGACAUUCCUUCCCUGGGGAGUUCGCUCUUGGUUGGAGUUUGGACUUUCACUCCCCCAGAGACCUGAGUUCAAAAGUCAGUACUCUACUGAGGGAGUGCUACAACGUUGGAGGUGCAGUCUUUCAGAUGAGAUGUUAAAGUGAGACUGUCUACUUUCUAAGAUUACAGAUUAGGGGAGCUGAUGGCCUACCGGUAUUAUCGCUAGACUGUUAAUCCAGAGACCCAGAUGACAUUCUGGGGACCAGGUUCAAAUCCUACUAUGGCAGAUGCUGGAAUUUGAAUUUAAUAAAUAUCUGGAAUUAAGAAUCUUA
Rhincodon typus (whale shark) is the source of this 377-nucleotide long non-coding RNA. RefSeq lists it as uncharacterized. NCBI's taxonomy places the organism in Eukaryota, Metazoa, Chordata, Chondrichthyes, Orectolobiformes, Rhincodontidae. The record is from RefSeq and is a predicted model, not a curated record. The transcript has 3 exons.